AAGAACUUUAGUAGUACAUGAGACUUCUUAGGAUCAACAAUUUCUCACUGACUCAUAAAUGAACCUUAUGAAACUCUUUCUUUACUUAUGGAUGAAUAAGCAAGUGGAUUACAUAUUCCAAAAGUUUAGGGGUAAAUUGUUCAAAAUCCUAAACUUUGAAGGGGCAAUAUGUACAUCAUCCUCUUGAUCAAAUACGGCACUGAAAAUGAUUUCUAUUCCAAGCUCUACUCUAUCUCCUCUUUAUGAAAAAACCAACUUCUUUUGCAAAUUCACUUUCCCCCUCAAACUUCACUAUAAAUCCUAAUUCACCCCCCAAGUUUCACUUCAAGAACAACCCCAAAUAAAAACCGUUUCUUCUACAAAAAGCAAGCUUUGGGUCAACCCCAAAAGCCCAAGAGCUUCAGAACUGAAACGAAAAUCUUAUGAUUUCAGGUAUGCUUCUUUAGUGAAAGUAGUUGAGAAUUUACAAUCUAUGGAUGUCCGGAAAGCUAACUGCAACUGUUUGAUUGACACCUGCGUCAACCUUAAUAAGGUGGAGAGAGCUUGUGAAUUAUUAGAUAUUGGGCUAACUCUCAACAUCUAUACUGAUAUAUAUUAUGUCUCGGACUGCAACUCAAUUGUCUUUACAUUUGAAGAGCCCCUCGCUUGGGGCAGCUUUGACAGUAUUGCACAUUUGGAUGAGUGACUUGAACAAAGCAUUUGAAACUUGGGUGAUUAUCCAGAGAAUUAACUCUAUUAAAAACUAAGAAGGAGAGACAUUAAAAAAGUACCCAAAAAAAAAUAAAAAAUUGAAACAAGACUCAAACAAUUGUAAUUUAAAUAAUGUAUAUUUGCUUGGUAACGAGGGGAAGAGGAGAUGUGACUAUCAAAGCCAGUACAUGCAAUUGCAAAUGGAGAGUAUAUAUUCAACAACCUUAAUUAGGCCCCCCACAGUUUAAUGGCUGCCAAUUUAGAUUAUAUCAUUAAUUUCAACUUCCAGUUUAGACGCGCUCCUACUUUAUUCCUUCCAUUUUGCAAAUUUUUUUCUUCAUCUUUCUUUCAUACGAGUAUUAAUUAAAAAUAUUCUCUUUUCUUCCUCUAUUCUCCCCACAUAGAAUUCAUUUUUUGUAAGAGUAUCAACCAUGAGUGGUGACAAGACUGAGAAGCUGCUACAAGAAGGUUAAAAAAAUUCUCUGUAAAUUCCCUCGUAAGUCUCUAUUUCAUGAAGGAAAGUACAAGAUCAAGAAUUCUAUUAUUAUGGAGAAGAAUUAAUUUGAUUUUUUUCGUUUUUUGUGAUGUAAAAUUUUUUUGGGCAACAGAAAUUAGAGACCAAGUAUAUGAUGAGAAGGCCAAUACAGUCACUAUCACUGUGGUAUGUUGUAAUCCUGAGAAAAUCCGUGACAAAUUAUCUAGUAAAGGAUGUGGAGUGAUUAAGAGCAUUGAAAUCAAAAACCCUCCAAAGCCCAAAGAAGAUCCUAAACCUCAAUCGGUUGAUCUACCACCACCACCGCCAACAUCAGAGCCCGUAAUGGUAGUGCUAAUGCCAAUUCAAGAGUACCCACCACCGCCGCCAGGAUACUGUUGUGGACAAUGCUAUGAAGGCUAUACGGGAGGCCCACGUUAGCAUUUGUACGGAAGAUCUCCCUCCGCCCCCGUGUUACGAUAACUAUGGAUAUAGCUGUGGGCCUGGGCCUAAGCCGUACGACUACGGAAGGGGCUGUCGUGUGAGCAGCUGUGAUGAGUACUUCAAUGAAGAAAAUGCCACGGGAUGCUCAAUCAUGUCAAAUGGCAGCUUCAUUAUUAUUGGGCUCCUCUUAAUGUAGUUUGUCUUUUUCUUCGGAUGAAAAUCAAUGUAUAGUAGCUUUUUUUUUUUUUUCUUCUUUGCUUUUUCUUCAUAGAUUUUUUUUUAAAAAUAUUGAAUUAAGUUAGAAAAUAAUUCAUAGUGGUAGUCUAAUAUGCUAAGCAAACUAUUCCAAGAAAUAAUUGUCCCAAGUUUAAAUAAUGUCCAAUAAUUUUAAAUUUAAGUAUCAAGUCUGCUAAAAAGGGGCCAUUCUUCAUUAUUUGAGCUUGCACUAAUUUCUUUUUUCUCUAGAUGUAUACAAUCUCACACGCAUGUUUAACAACAAUAUAUAUGCGAUUUUAAAAUAUUUCUACAAAAUUGACAUCAAAUGCACAUAAAACGAACAGGAUGCACAUGCGGCGCAUGCCCCUACGCCGCACGUAGAAGCUAAUUUUAUUAAAUAUGCUUGAGACCUCUUAUUAGAAUUUGAAUUUAGGCCACUAAUUCUAUUGAACUGCUCCUAAAAAUAUGAGUAUAUAAAUAUAAGGAUGAAUUUAGGGGCAGAUUGGUUGCGGGUUUAUAUGAAUUCAUUAUUUUUUUUCCAGAUGCUUUAUAUCUAUAAAUAUGUACAAUUAUAUUUCUAUCAUCCAUAUCAUUGAUGUAACAGUUUUGUCGAUCACUUUCAAGUUUCACGUCCUUCUCUCUUUUCUUCACUUAAUUAAAUUCGCUUCUACUGUCACGUUGACGUACCGACUGGGGCAAUGAAGGUCAACCCAAAAAAAAAAGGGAAGCAAGGAGUUAAUUUGUCUUGUUAUCAUGCAUGUUACAUUGUUAUUAAUUAAGUUGUCGAUAAUACUUCUUUUUACUUCUUUUUUCUCCCUUUUUUUUUUUUUUUUGAGAAGAGAGCAUAAUUUUGAUCUUUUAUUGUAAUAUCAAGCCUAUUCUUCAAUUUUGAUCUCAUGGUUGUAGUUGAUCUUUACAUAGCAACAAUUAAUAGAUUGGAUCAUAAUCAUAAUUUCUAAGUACUAAAAGAUUAGGAAAGUUCAAGAAUUCGAUAACAGCUGGAAGUGGAAAGUUUUUGGAAGAGACUCCUUGUUGUCUUGUGAUAGAAAAUGACACAACAGUUUUAACGCUUUAGUUUUUUGUUUCAACUCCUAGACAUCACAGUAAUGUAUAUAUUGGAUUUACUGAUAGAUUGCUACUCCCUCCGGAU
Molecule: RNA transcript, 2972 nt
Organism: Lycium ferocissimum
Lineage: Eukaryota; Viridiplantae; Streptophyta; Magnoliopsida; Solanales; Solanaceae
Gene name: heavy metal-associated isoprenylated plant protein 6-like
Exons: 2
Source: RefSeq, a predicted model, not a curated record